ACUGAUUAAUCAGACUUCCUGGCAGUGGUUAUAUGAGGAGGAUGACUGAGAAUUUAGUAGCCCUCUAAACUGCGCAUGAAUGCAAUGAGGUGCAUCACAGAAUUACAGAGUGGAUGAGGUUGGAAGGCACAUCCGGAGAUCAUCUAGUCCAACCCCUAUGCCGAACAGGGUCACCUACAGCACGUUGUGCAGGAUGGCAUCCAGGUGGGUUUCGAGUAUCUCCAGAGAAGGAGACUCCACAGCCUCUCUGGGCAACCUGUCCCAGUGCUCCAUCACCCUCACAGUAAAGAAGCACCCCCUCAUAUUCAGCCAGAACCUCGUGGGCUUUAGUUUGUGCCCGUUGCCUCUCAUCCUCUUGCUGGGCUCAGCUGAAAAGAGACCGGCUCCAUCUUCUCGACACCCUCCCCUCAGGUAUUUAUACACAUUGAUGAGAUUAGUGAAUGAAGUCCUUACACGUGAUAAAUCGGUGACAAUCUCUUUUCUCUCCUAUGUUCUCACCAGACUCUGACCUUUUACAGAUACGCAGUCAGAUGUUGCUUCUACCAAACGUAGAGCUGCAAAAACUGGAGCAUCUCUCACUGACAGCCUCUUUGACUGAAGUGCUGCAGAAAGUCCUCCAGUGUGCAAGCCCAGAAGAUGUGUUUAUGUGUCUGGUCAUCUCUGGAAUGCGUGGCUGCAAAGCGAAAGGCUGGGAAACUCUUGUGGGGUGGGACGGCUGCGCUGGCGGUGACCUGCCAGCCCCGACAGACGCAUUUCUGACUGUGGAGAAGGAAAUCUGGUGCCGAGGGGCUUUGGCAUGCCCGAGGGAUGCCCUGUGCCACCCCACAAGUCAAAAAGCUCAUCGGGCACUGCGAUGCGUCGGGAGGAGAGGUCCACGGUGCAGCAUCCAGACUGUUGGGACUCUUCGUGUGCUUCCUCCACGGGCUUCGAGGUGAUGGGGUUUUGGGGUCAAGGUGGACCUUGCAUCUCCUGGUGGUUGCUCGAGCCCUUCAGCGCCUCGCAGCCGGCACCCAGUGUUUUGCAGGAUGGGGUUUCCGCCGGCUGAAGAGGAAAAAAAUCCCAAUCGCGCAGGGCUUCUGCGUGUGCAAAAGGUCUGCUAGAGAACUGCCGAAGCUAAACUGAUCACACAUGUCCUUCAGCUUAGGAGAGGGGAGCUCUAAGUGAGAGCAUGUGUGCUCUGAGUCCCGGGCUGAGAAAAUGUCAGUCUCAGGCGCUUGGGAAGUUCAUAUUGAUACAAACAGGGAGGCUCCCUGCUGCCCACAGAUUUCCCACAUAAAAGUCCUACUGGUAGCCGUGGGAACUUCGCAGCAGCCACGCUGUGGCUAAAGUCACCGCUCUGAAAAUGCAGUGAAAUUAGUGUUCAUAAAAGUGAAAAACACGCCACAAGAAUGAAGACGUUCUGAUUCACAGCCAUGGAAAUUACAUGAGCUCUGGCAUAGAAAAAAGCUGCAUUUUGCUGUUAUCCUGGCGUCAGAAAGGGAUUGCUGGUGAAUUUAAAAAAAAAAGCCUCUUUGAGCAAAAAAUCUUUGCCUUUUUUGCAAAUGAUUUUUUUUUCCCACCAAAACACAAAAAAGCCAAGCUGUGUCCAUUAUGCCCUGUGGAAAGGGCAGAUCCUGCGCUGCACAGUGGCCUCUAGUGAAGCUGAGCAGUUUGCUCCAGAACCUGUGAAAUAAUUUCCAGCAGCUGGUUUGUUACUAAUUUCAGUUCUGCCUUUCGGUCUGACCGUCACCUCCCCCAGCCUAUGCCACUCGCGCCGUAUAUUUUUAAGGAAAACAAAAAAGAAAAACACGGCAGGAUAUGAUGGGGCAGUGGGUUUGUUCUGGUGUGACUUGAACAUGAAGCUGGGAUCCAGAGUAAAAGGUAAUGCUAGCAGUAAAGCAGCUCUUAUGGUUUAACAGUAUUAUUUAAUACUAUUUGAAGUUCCUUUUUUUGACC
This is a long non-coding RNA of Anser cygnoides (Swan goose), 1935 nucleotides long. The record is from Ensembl. NCBI's taxonomy places the organism in Eukaryota, Metazoa, Chordata, Aves, Anseriformes, Anatidae.